Molecule: ribosomal RNA, 861 nt
Filed under: Triticum aestivum (bread wheat)
Lineage: Eukaryota; Viridiplantae; Streptophyta; Magnoliopsida; Poales; Poaceae
Description: partial small subunit ribosomal RNA
Source: RNAcentral
AUGCCGAUAAUUUCAGGGAGCAGCCACCGUGAUGGUGCUAUAUACAAGAGAGCGGCUCACUGGGAGCAUAAUUACUUUUUUGAUAUCACUGACCGUACAGAGACUCGGUUGGAGCCAGCGCGUGCAUACGAUAUACCACGUAACAUGAUGCAGAUCUUUUCAAUGAAGUUAGCUAAAGCUCCUAUCAACAGUGGCUCAAUACAGUUAUACGGAUAUAUAGCAGCACAUGAUGAAGUUGAUCUAAGACUGAAUUAUGUUUUCAAUCGUAGCAGGGAUGAUCCCAUCACCGUGCAGCAGGGUUCUCUAAUUGAAAUGAACGGCCCUAAGAGAGCCAUCCUGUUGAUAUUUGAUGUGCUACUUGAGUUUGACAUGAGGAUCAAGAAUGGAGAGAAUGAAGAGGAUGAUUUGCAGCUGAUUGAUGGAAUCUCAGAAUUUUACGGUUUACGCAUGUCGUGGAGACCGCACGAGGUUCGCAUUGGUGGAAAUUGUGGUGCAGUCGAUACGUCUUUUGCACUUGUUCAUAAUUCAGUCGAGGCCACAGUACAAGUUAUCAUAUCAAAAGUGCAGACUGGCUUUGAUUUAUCUCUCAGUUCUACGAUUGCUCUUCUGGAGAUGAAUAAAGAAUUCCAGCUCUUCAGUGGAAAUAUUAGUGAGUCCUGUGGCUUAGGAAGCUUUGUGAUUGCUGUCACAUGGGAUACGCUUAUGAAUUUGAAGUUCAAGGUUGAUCACCAAGGCCGUAACAAUAAUAUUGAACGCAAUUGUUCCUUCAAAGCUAAGUUAAAUGGACACGCCAGCCAUCAGCUAAAUCUCGAGACUGCCUCAAUUUUAGUUAAGGUGACUUGGGCUGUGUUGCCUGCAUAG